Molecule: long non-coding RNA, 346 nt
Filed under: Vigna radiata
Lineage: Eukaryota; Viridiplantae; Streptophyta; Magnoliopsida; Fabales; Fabaceae
Description: long non-coding RNA (VRAD_LNC006082)
Source: RNAcentral
GUUGGGAUGAGCUUAACUGUAUGUGAUGAAAAGGUUCAAGUUUGGGGUUGUACGGGGGAAAAUUGAAAAAAACAAGUGAAAAGCAUUGAGCUCAAAUGUUGUGAAAAGAAAAAUUCAUGAGAAAAAGAAAAGAAAAGAAGAAAAGCAUGAGAAAGAGCUCAAUGCAAAAGAAAAAGAAAAGGGAAGAAGUUGGGAAUGAGAGAGAUUGGUGAGGAAGAGAGUUGUGCUUAAUUGUUGAAUAUUGUGAUAGCUCUCUUGACUCAAGGAUUUUGUAUUCCAGAAAAAACCAAUUCUUUCUUGUUAGCCCAACCUCAUUACAAGCCUUGGAAAAGUCCUUUUGAUGACA